AUUGAACGCUGGCGGCAUGCUUUACACAUGCAAGUCGGACGAGUGGCAAACGGGUGAGUAACAUAGCGAAACGUACCGAGUAAUGGGGGAUAACUAAUCGAAAGAUUCGCUAAUACCGCAUAUUAUUCGAGCGGCCGAUAUCUGAUUAGCUGGUUGGUGGGGUAAAGGCCUACCAAGGCGACGAUCAGUAGCGGGUCUGAGAGGAUGCUCCGCCACACUGGGAUUGAGACACGGCACAGACGCAUACGGGAGGCAGCAGUGGGGAAUGUUGGGCAAUGGGCGCAAGCCUGAGCCAGCCAUGCCGCGUGUCGGAAGAAGGCCUUCGGGUUGUAAAGGACUUUUGUCAGGGAAGCGGUACCUAAAGAAUAAGCACCGGCUAACUACGUGCCAGCAGCCGCGGUAAUAC
RNAcentral lists this ribosomal RNA (406 nucleotides) under uncultured bacterium. RNAcentral's name for it is "partial 16S ribosomal RNA". It matches the Rfam family "Bacterial small subunit ribosomal RNA", at positions 30 to 526 of the family's 1533-position model. The record is from RNAcentral.